RNAcentral lists this ribosomal RNA (713 nucleotides) under uncultured Peredibacter sp. RNAcentral describes it as "bacterial SSU rRNA". It matches the Rfam family "Bacterial small subunit ribosomal RNA", at positions 684 to 1395 of the family's 1533-position model. Lineage: Bacteria; Pseudomonadati; Bdellovibrionota; Bacteriovoracia; Bacteriovoracales; Bacteriovoracaceae. The record is from RNAcentral.
AAAUCCGUAGAGAUGUGAAGGAACACCGGAGGCGAAGGCGCCUGCCUGGACGACUAUUGACGCUGAGGCGCGAAAGCGUGGGGAGCAAACAGGAUUAGAUACCCUGGUAGUCCACGCCGUAAACGAUGAACACUAGUUAUUGGGGGUAUUGACUCCUUCAGUGACGCAGCUAACGCAUUAAGUGUUCCGCCUGGGGAGUACGGUCGCAAGACUAAAACUCAAACAAAUUGACGGGGGCCCGCACAAGCGGUGGAUUAUGUGGUUUAAUUCGAAGCAACGCGCAGAACCUUACCUAGGCUUGAACUCCUCAGAAUCCGGGGUAAUGCCUGGAGUGCCCGCAAGGAAAUUGAGUGAGAGGUGCUGCAUGGCUGUCGUCAGCUCGUGUUGUGAAAUGUUGGGUUAAGUCUCGCAACGAGCGCAACCCCUAUCGUCUGUUGCCAGCAUUAAGUUGGGCACUCUGACGAGACUGCCUGGGUUAACCAGGAGGAAGGUGGGGAUGACGUCAAGUCCUCAUGGCCCUUAUGUCUAGGGCUACACACGUAAUACAAUGGCGCGUACAGAGGGAAGCGAACUCGCAAGGGGGAGCAAAUCUCAAAAAGCGCGCCUCAGUUCGGAUUGGAGUCUGCAACUCGACUCCAUGAAGUUGGAAUCGCUAGUAAUCGGAGAUCAGCACGCUCCGGUGAAUACGUUCCCGGGCCUUGUACACACCGCCC